Molecule: ribosomal RNA, 265 nt
Filed under: uncultured prokaryote
Description: partial 16S ribosomal RNA
Rfam family: Bacterial small subunit ribosomal RNA
Source: RNAcentral
UACGUAGGUGGCGAUCGUUGUCCGGAUUUACUGGGCGUAAAGGGAGCGUAGGCGGACUUUUAAGUGAGAUGUGAAAUACCCGGGCUCAACUUUGGUGCUGCAUUUCAAACUGGAAGUCUAGAGUGCAGGAGAGGAGAAUGGAAUUCCUAGUGUAGCGGUGAAAUGCGUAGAGAUUAGGAAGAACACCAGUGGCGAAGGCGAUUCUCUGGACUGUAACUGACGCUGAGGCUCGAAAGCGUGGGGAGCAAACAGGAUUAGAUACCCU